UGGGGAAUAUUGCACAAUGGGCGCAAGCCUGAUGCAGCCAUGCCGCGUGUGUGAAGAAGGCCUUCGGGUUGUAAAGCACUUUCAGCGGGGAGGAAGGCGUUAAGGUUAAUAACCUUGGCGAUUGACGUUACCCGCAGAAGAAGCACCGGCUAACUCCGUGCCAGCAGCCGCGGUAAUACGGAGGGUGCAAGCGUUAAUCGGAAUUACUGGGCGUAAAGCGCACGCAGGCGGUCUGUCAAGUCGGAUGUGAAAUCCCCGGGCUCAACCUGGGAACUGCAUUCGAAACUGGCAGGCUAGAGUCUUGUAGAGGGGGGUAGAAUUCCAGGUGUAGCGGUGAAAUGCGUAGAGAUGUGGAGGAAUACCGGUGGCGAAGGCGGCCCCCUGGACAAAGACUGACGCUCAGGUGCGAAAGAGUGGGGAGCAAACAGG
RNAcentral lists this ribosomal RNA (429 nucleotides) under Chloroflexota bacterium. RNAcentral's name for it is "Chloroflexi bacterium partial 16S ribosomal RNA". It matches the Rfam family "Bacterial small subunit ribosomal RNA", at positions 355 to 776 of the family's 1533-position model. Lineage: Bacteria; Bacillati; Chloroflexota. The record is from RNAcentral.